This 429-nucleotide ribosomal RNA is filed under the name Acidobacteriota bacterium. RNAcentral describes it as "Acidobacteria bacterium partial 16S ribosomal RNA". It matches the Rfam family "Bacterial small subunit ribosomal RNA", at positions 355 to 776 of the family's 1533-position model. Lineage: Bacteria; Pseudomonadati; Acidobacteriota. The record is from RNAcentral.
UGGGGAAUUUUGGACAAUGGGGGAAACCCUGAUCCAGCCAUCCCGCGUGUGCGAUGAAGGCCUUCGGGUUGUAAAGCACUUUUGGCAGGAAAGAAACGUCAUGGGUUAAUACCCCGUGAAACUGACGGUAUCUGCAGAAUAAGCACCGGCUAACUACGUGCCAGCAGCCGCGGCAAUACGUAGGGUGCAAGCGUUAAUCGGAAUUACUGGGCGUAAAGCGUGCGCAGGCGGUUCGGAAAGAAAGAUGUGAAAUCCCAGAGCUCAACGUUGGAACUGCAUUUUUAACUUUCGGUCUAGAGUGUGUCAGAGUGAGUUGGAAUUCCGCGUGUAGCAGUGACAUUCGUAGAUAUACGGAGGAACACCGAUGGCGAAGGCAGCCUCCUGGGAUAACACUGUCGCUCAUGCACGAAAGCGUGGGGAGCAAACAGG